This 119-nucleotide ribosomal RNA is filed under the name Pteropus alecto (black flying fox). Lineage: Eukaryota; Metazoa; Chordata; Mammalia; Chiroptera; Pteropodidae. The record is from RNAcentral.
GUCUACAGCCUUGCUACCCUAAACAAGCCCAAUCGCGUCUGAUCUCGGAAGUCAAGCAGCGUCGGGCCUGGCUAGUACUUGGAUGGGAGACCAUCUAGGAAGACCAGGUGCUGUAGGCA